GAAGAAGGCCUUCGGGUUGUAAAGUACUUUCAGCGGGGAGGAAGGGAGUAAAGUUAAUACCUUUGCUCAUUGACGUUACCCGCAGAAGAAGCACCGGCUAACUCCGUGCCAGCAGCCGCGGUAAUACGGAGGGUGCAAGCGUUAAUCGGAAUUACUGGGCGUAAAGCGCACGCAGGCGGUUUGUUAAGUCAGAUGUGAAAUCCCCGGGCUCAACCUGGGAACUGCAUCUGAUACUGGCAAGCUUGAGUCUCGUAGAGGGGGGUAGAAUUCCAGGUGUAGCGGUGAAAUGCGUAGAGAUCUGGAGGAAUACCGGUGGCGAAGGCGGCCCCCUGGACGAAGACUGACGCUCAGGUGCGAAAGCGUGGGGAGCAAACAGGAUUAGAU
RNAcentral lists this ribosomal RNA (384 nucleotides) under Acinetobacter nosocomialis. Its description in RNAcentral is "bacterial SSU rRNA". It matches the Rfam family "Bacterial small subunit ribosomal RNA", at positions 407 to 783 of the family's 1533-position model. Lineage: Bacteria; Pseudomonadati; Pseudomonadota; Gammaproteobacteria; Moraxellales; Moraxellaceae. The record is from RNAcentral.